Non-coding RNA from Oryctolagus cuniculus (rabbit), 1600 nucleotides. The record is from RefSeq and is a predicted model, not a curated record. Lineage: Eukaryota; Metazoa; Chordata; Mammalia; Lagomorpha; Leporidae.
CAGCCACGAGACCCUGGAGCUGCUUCUUUGGGGAGGCCAUCGAGCUGCUGGAAGGAUCUGGAACACAUGCGUGAGACAGCUGUUUCCUUGGGGAAGGCCAGGUAACGAUGGGGUCACAGACACCCGGGAAGGUCAGGUAAGGACAGAGGUCACAGACACCCGGGGAAGGUCAGGUAAUGAUGGGGUCACAGACACCCGGGGAAGGUCAGGUAACGAUGGGGUCACAGACACCCGGGGAAGGCCAGGUAAGGACAGAGGUCACAGACACCCGGGGAAGGUCAGGUAAGGACAGAGGUCACAGACACCCGGGGAAGGUCAGGUAAGGACAGAGGUCACAGACACCCGGGGAAGGUCAGGUAAGGACAGAGGUCACAGACACCCGGGGAAGGUCAGGUAAGGACAGAGGUCACAGACACCCGGGGAAGGUCAGGUAAGGACAGAGGUCACAGACACCCGGGGAAGGUCAGGUAAGGACAGAGGUCACAGACACCCGGGGAAGGUCAGGUAAUGAUGGGGUCACAGACACCCGGGGAAGGUCAGGUAAUGAUGGGGUCACAGACACCCGGGGAAGGCCAGGUAAUGAUGGGGUCACAGACACCCGGGGAAGGCCAGGUAAGGACAGAGGUCACAGACACCCGGGGAAGGCCAGGUAAUGAUGGGGUCACAGACACCCGGGGAAGGUCAGGUAACGAUGGGGUCACAGACACCCGGGGAAGGUCAGGUAAGGACAGAGGUCACAGACACCCGGGGAAGGUCAGGUAACGAUGGGGUCACAGACACCCGGGGAAGGCCAGGUAAUGAUGGGGUCACAGACACCCGGGGAAGGCCAGGUAAGGACAGAGGUCACAGACACCCGGGGAAGGUCAGGUAAGGACAGAGGUCACAGACACCUGGGGAAGGUCAGGUAAGGACAGAGGUCACAGACACUCGGGGAAGGCCAGGUAAUGAUGGGGUCACAGACACCCGGGGAAGGCUGGGUAAGGACAGAGGUCACAGAUACCCCGGUACCCGGCAGUGAAAGAUUGCACAAUAUUGAAAUAUGCAUUUUCAGUUAGUGAUUUAGGAGGCAGACACACACACACACACACACACACACACAGAUCCUCCAUCCAGUAAUCCACUCCCAAAAUGCCUGCUGGGAACCCAAUCCAGGUCUCCCACAUGGGUGGCAAGGACCCAACCGCCUUGGCUGUCACCUCUCCCCCAGGCUGGCGUGCCCAGGAACCUGUGUCGGCUGCUGGGGCCCAGGCACUCCGGUUUGGAACGAGCGUCCUAACUGUAGGCCAAGCACGUGCCCUGAGUCAGAGUUCGGAGUUCAGUUCAGUGGGGGGGCCUUGAGACAGGGGAGGUGGCCUGGACACACUCCCUCCAGAAGGCCUCCUGCCGCCGCUGCCGCCCUGUCGGGGGUGGAGAAACCAGAGCCCUCAGACAGGCAGCAGCCGACCCCCGGAGCAGGCACUGGGCCCAGGCGGGCAGACAAGAGUCUGUGAAACCCAAGGGCAGCAUGAGAGGGCACAGCCGGGAGGGGGCACAGCAGGACAGGGCACAGCCGGGAGGGGGCACAGCUGGGAGGGGGCACAGCCAGGACAGGGCACAGCUG